RNAcentral lists this ribosomal RNA (330 nucleotides) under uncultured bacterium. Its description in RNAcentral is "bacterial SSU rRNA". It matches the Rfam family "Bacterial small subunit ribosomal RNA", at positions 568 to 898 of the family's 1533-position model. The record is from RNAcentral.
UGUGUAGGCGGUUCUUUAAGUUUGGUGUGAAAUCUCCCGGCUCAACUGGGAGGGAGCGCCGAAUACUGAGGGACUAGAGUACGGGAGAGGAAAGUGGAAUUCCUGGUGUAGCGGUGAAAUGCGUAGAUAUCAGGAGGAACACCGGUGGUGUAGACGGCUUUCUGGACCGACACUGACGCUGAGACACGAAAGCGUGGGUAGCAAACAGGAUUAGAUACCCUGGUAGUCCACGCCCUAAACGAUGCAUAUUUGGUGUGGGCAGUUCAUUCUGUCCGUGCCGGAGCUAACGCGUUAAAUAUGCCGCCUGGGGAGUACAGUCACAAGGCUGAA